AAACCAACAGGGAUUGCCUUAGUAGCGGCGAGUGAAGCGGCAAGAGCUCAAAUUUGAAAUCUGGUACCUUUGGUGCCCGAGUUGUAAUUUGAAGAUCACAAUCUUGAAAUUGGUCCUUGUCUAUGUUCCUUGGAACAGGACGUCACAGAGGGUGAGAAUCCCGUGCGAUGAGGAUACCUUUUUCAUUUAAGAUGUGUUCGACGAGUCGAGUUGUUUGGGAAUGCAGCUCAAAGUGGGUGGUAAAUUCCAUCUAAAGCUAAAUAUUGGCGAGAGACCGAUAGCGAACAAGUACAGUGAUGGAAAGAUGAAAAGAACUUUGAAAAGAGAGUGAAAAAGUACGUGAAAUUGUUGAAAGGGAAGGGUAUUUAAUCAGACUUGGUAUUUAGCUAUCUCUUCUCCUUGUGGGAGGGGCUCUAGCUUUUUACUGGGCCAGCAUCAGUUUUGGUGGUGAGAUAAUCGCAGUUGAAUGUGGCUCCUCGGAGUGUUAUAGCUUCUGUUGAUGUUACCUACUGGGACUGAGGUCUGCGGCUUUGCCUAGGAUGCUGGCGUAAUGAUUAAACACCGC
RNAcentral lists this ribosomal RNA (565 nucleotides) under Ambrosiozyma platypodis. RNAcentral's name for it is "eukaryotic LSU rRNA". It matches the Rfam family "Eukaryotic large subunit ribosomal RNA", at positions 62 to 648 of the family's 3401-position model. Lineage: Eukaryota; Fungi; Ascomycota; Pichiomycetes; Pichiales; Pichiaceae. The record is from RNAcentral.